RNAcentral lists this transfer RNA (73 nucleotides) under Klebsiella pneumoniae. Its description in RNAcentral is "tRNA-Val". It matches the Rfam family "tRNA". From Rfam's summary of the family: Transfer RNA (tRNA) molecules are approximately 80 nucleotides in length. Their secondary structure includes four short double-helical elements and three loops (D, anti-codon, and T loops). The record is from RNAcentral. RNAcentral also lists the same sequence under 1 other name. Lineage: Bacteria; Pseudomonadati; Pseudomonadota; Gammaproteobacteria; Enterobacterales; Enterobacteriaceae.
GGGUGAUUAGCUCAGCUGGGAGAGCACCUCCCUUACAAGGAGGGGGUCGGCGGUUCGAUCCCGUCAUAACGCU